Molecule: ribosomal RNA, 253 nt
Filed under: uncultured bacterium
Lineage: Bacteria
Description: partial 16S ribosomal RNA
Rfam family: Bacterial small subunit ribosomal RNA
Source: RNAcentral
UACAGAGGUCCCGAGCGUUGUUCGGAUUCAUUGGGCGUAAAGGGUGCGUAGGCGGCGGGGCCAGUCUGAUGUGAAAUCCCAGGGCUCAACCCUGGAACUGCAUUGGAUACUGCCUUGCUCGAGUACUGGAGAGGGAACUGGAAUUUACGGUGUAGCAGUGAAAUGCGUAGAGAUCGUAAGGAAGGCCAGUGGCGAAGGCGAGUUCCUGGACAGUGACUGACGCUGAGGCACGAAGGCCAGGGGAGCAAACGGG